CAGUUCGGAUUGUAGUCUGCAACUCGACUACAUGAAGCUGGAAUCGCUAGUAAUCGCAGAUCAGAAUGCUGCGGUGAAUACGUUCCCGGGUCUUGUACACACCGCCCGUCACACCAUGGGAGUCGGGAAUGCCCGAAGUCAGUGACCCAACCGCAAGGAGGGAGCUGCCGAAGGCAGGCUCGAUAACUGGGGUGAAGUCGUAACAAGGUAAC
RNAcentral lists this ribosomal RNA (212 nucleotides) under uncultured bacterium. RNAcentral describes it as "partial 16S ribosomal RNA". It matches the Rfam family "Bacterial small subunit ribosomal RNA", at positions 1289 to 1500 of the family's 1533-position model. The record is from RNAcentral.